RNAcentral lists this ribosomal RNA (253 nucleotides) under uncultured bacterium. RNAcentral describes it as "partial 16S ribosomal RNA". It matches the Rfam family "Bacterial small subunit ribosomal RNA", at positions 524 to 776 of the family's 1533-position model. The record is from RNAcentral.
GACGAACCGUGCAAACGUUAUUCGGAAUCACUGGGCAUAAAGGGCGCGUAGGCGGCUCCAAAAGUCAGGGGUGAAAUCCGGCAGCUUAACUGUCGCAGUGCCUUUGAUACUGUGGAGCUAGAGGGAGGUAGGGGUCUGUGGAACUUCCGGUGGAGCGGUGAAAUGCGUUGAUGUCGGAAGGAACGCCGGUGGCAAAAGCGACGGACUGGAUCUCUUCUGACGCUGAGGCGCGAAAGCCAGGGGAGCAAACGGG